CGGGGUGAGGAACGCGUGGGCAAUCUGCCCUGAGGUGGGGGGUAGCCCUCGGAAACGAGGGGUAAUUCCGCAUGUGCUCGCCGGCCGGUGGGGCUGGUGUAGGAAAGGGUCUUUCGGGACUCGCCUUGGGAGGAGCCUGCGGCCGAUUAGCUUGUUGGUGGGGUAACGGCUCACCAAGGCAGUGAUCGGCAGCUGGUCUGAGAGGACGGCCAGCCACAUGGGGACUGAGACACGACCCCA
Molecule: ribosomal RNA, 240 nt
Filed under: uncultured bacterium
Lineage: Bacteria
Description: partial 16S ribosomal RNA
Rfam family: Bacterial small subunit ribosomal RNA
Source: RNAcentral